Long non-coding RNA from Dioscorea cayenensis subsp. rotundata (Guinea yam), 354 nucleotides. RefSeq lists it as uncharacterized. The transcript is spliced from 2 exons. The record is from RefSeq and is a predicted model, not a curated record. NCBI's taxonomy places the organism in Eukaryota, Viridiplantae, Streptophyta, Magnoliopsida, Dioscoreales, Dioscoreaceae.
UCUCACGUCAUCGUGAGGGGGGGCAUUUCGGGAAGAUGUUCUUUCGAAGGGGGUUUCUCUCGCUGCCUUUGGUGGGCGGCGCCGUCGUGAUUGGGGUGGUUUCUGGCAAAGCAAUAUUUGGGCCUCCGCUUGAGGAGUACUGGACAAAAAAGCUUCAGGAAGAACCAGCAAAGGAGGGAGAUACAGGCAGCAGUUAGCAGUACUUGUAAGGAACUGCAAUGUGAUAUGAUUUGGGGAACGAGCUCUUUAAUGUAUCUCUGCAAUUGUGGUUCACCCAUUUUCCACAUGUGUAACUUGCAUAAUAAAUAAGGAAGUUUUUUUGGUGAAUGGAUAAUUCCUACAACUUUUGCUUAA